RNAcentral lists this ribosomal RNA (1338 nucleotides) under metagenome. RNAcentral describes it as "SSU rRNA". It matches the Rfam family "Eukaryotic small subunit ribosomal RNA", at positions 487 to 1772 of the family's 1831-position model. The record is from RNAcentral.
ACUAGGAUUUAUCCUGGGGUCACAAUGGGCUUGAUUUGCAAACUUUAUUUAGCGAGGAACAAUUGGAGGGCAAGUCUGGUGCCAGCAGCCGCGGUAAUUCCAGCUCCAAUAGUGUAUAUUAAUGUUCCUGCAGUUAUUCGAUGCUCGUAGUUGGAUUUCUGGGGGCUGAGAUUGGAAGGUGGCCAAGGUCACCGCCGAACUCUUCCUUCAUCCACCUGUUAACGUUGUCCGGGAUUUGUUUCUCGGCUUCAGGCUCAGGUAUUUUACCCUUUCUAUAUAUUCAUUUAUUUAUCUUCUUUUUGAGUAAAUUAUAGUGUUUCAGGCAGGCGUGCGCCGGAAUACUUUAGCAUGGAAUAAUCGAAUUGGACCGUGUAUUCUUAUAGAAUUCUUCCUUAUUUGUUGGUUUCAAGGACACGGAAAUGGUUAAUAGGGAUAGUGUUUUCAGGGGAGGCAUUAGUAUUUAAUUUCCAGAGGUGAAAUUCUUUGAAAUAUUAAAGACUAACUUAUGCGAAAGCAUUUAUUUUGCCAAUAAUGUUUUCAUUAAUCAUUGAACGAAAGUUAGGGGAUCAAAGACGAUCAGAUACCGUCCUAGUCUUAACCAUAAACGUUGCCGACUAGGGAUCGGAGGGCGUGCACAUUCCGCCUUCGGCACCUUACGAGAAAUCAAAGUCUUUUGGGUUCUGGGGGUAGUAUGGUCGCAAGGCUGAAACUUAAAGGAAUUGACGGAAGGGCACCACCAGGAGUGGAGCUUGCGGCUCAAUUUGACUCAACACGGGAAAUCUUACCAGGUCCAGACAUAGCGAGGAUUGACAGAUUGAUAGCUCUUUCUUGAUUCUAUGGGUAUUUAUUUUAAUUUUGGUGGUGCAUGGCCGUUCUUAGUUGGUGGAGUGAUUUGUCUGGUUAAUUCCGUUAAACGAACGAGACCUCAGCCUGCUAAAUAGUUACCUGUCUUUCUUUUACGAGACUUGAUAACUUCUUAGAGGGACGUUGUGUGCAACCACAAGGAAGUUGAGGCAAUAACAGGUCUGUGAUGCCCUUAGAUGUCCUGGGCCGCACGCGUGCUACACUGAUACGUACAACAAGGUAUAUGCAUUUAUGCAUCGAUGCUGCUCCGAAAUAGACACAGCUAAAUCUUCUAAAAUACGUAUCGUGCUGCGGAUAGAUCGUUGAAAUUAUGGAUCUUGAAGGUGGAAUUCCUAGUAAGCGCGGGUCAUCAACCCGCGUUGAUUACGUCCCUGCCCUUUGUACACACCGCCCGUCGCUCCUACCAAUUUCGAGUGGCUCGGUGAACCUCUUUGGACUGUCGAGCAAUCGCGAAAUUAGAGUGAACCUGGUCAC